AGAAAGGAUGAAAUAGCAUAUUUACAACAACAUGGAUGGGCCUUGAAAACAUUAUGCUAGGUGAAUAAGUCAGACAGAAAAAGCUAAGAACUAUAUGAUUUCACUCAUAUGUUGAAUAUAAAACUGAAUCUUAUGAACACAAACAGUAGUGUGGCGGUUGCCAGAGGGAGGGG
This is a long non-coding RNA of Pipistrellus kuhlii (Kuhl's pipistrelle), 173 nucleotides long. RefSeq lists it as uncharacterized. Lineage: Eukaryota; Metazoa; Chordata; Mammalia; Chiroptera; Vespertilionidae. The transcript is spliced from 2 exons. The record is from RefSeq and is a predicted model, not a curated record.